CGGACGGGUGAGUAACACGUGGAUAACCCACCUAUAAGACUGGGAUAACUUCGGGAAACCGGAGCUAAUACCGGAUAAUAUAUUGAACCGCAUGGUUCAAUGGUGAAAGACGGUUUUGCUGUCACUUAUAGAUGGAUCCGCGCCGCAUUAGCUAGUUGGUAAGGUAACGGCUUACCAAGGCAACGAUGCGUAGCCGACCUGAGAGGGUGAUCGGCCACACUGGAACUGAGACACGGUCCAGACUCCUACGGGAGGCAGCAGAG
RNAcentral lists this ribosomal RNA (263 nucleotides) under uncultured Staphylococcus sp. RNAcentral's name for it is "partial 16S ribosomal RNA". It matches the Rfam family "Bacterial small subunit ribosomal RNA", at positions 99 to 354 of the family's 1533-position model. Lineage: Bacteria; Bacillati; Bacillota; Bacilli; Caryophanales; Staphylococcaceae. The record is from RNAcentral.